CCCUUAGAUGCCCUGGGCCGCACGCGUGCUACACUGACGCAUACAGCGAGCACUUUCCAGUUCCGAGAGGCUACUGGUAAUCAUCAAUAUGCGUCGUGAUGGGGAUAGAUCUUUGGAAUUCUGGAUCUUGAACGAGGAAUGCCUAGUAAUCGCAGGUCAUUAGCCUGCGAUGAUUAAGUCCCUGCCCUUUGUACACACCGCCCGUCGCUACUACCGAUUUCGAGUGGUCAGGUGAAUCUUUCGGACUGUGGGCGCCCUUGAGGUGUUCGCGGAAAGUCAGGUAAAUCUUAUCACUUAGAGGAAGUAAAAGUCGUAACA
RNAcentral lists this ribosomal RNA (318 nucleotides) under uncultured eukaryote. RNAcentral describes it as "partial 18S ribosomal RNA". It matches the Rfam family "Eukaryotic small subunit ribosomal RNA", at positions 1470 to 1796 of the family's 1831-position model. The record is from RNAcentral.